CCUGGAGGAAGGUGGGGAUGACGUCAAAUCAUCAUGCCCCUUAUGCUUAGGGCUACACACGUGCUACAAUGGGUAGUACAGAGGGUUGCCAAGCCGUAAGGUGGAGCUAAUCCCUUAAAGCUACUCUCAGUUCGGAUUGUAGGCUGAAACUCGCCUACAUGAAGCUGGAGUUACUAGUAAUCGCAGAUCAGAAUGCUGCGGUGAAUGCGUUCCCGGGUCUUGUACACACCGCCCGUCACACCACGGGAGUUGGAGACGCCCGAAGCCGAUUAUCUAACCUUUUGGAAGAAGUCGUCGAAGGUGGAAUCAAUAACUGGGGUGAAGUCGUAACAAGGUAGCCGUAUCGGAAGGGGCGGCUGGAUCACCUCCUUUCUAAGGAGA
Molecule: ribosomal RNA, 381 nt
Filed under: Clostridioides difficile
Lineage: Bacteria; Bacillati; Bacillota; Clostridia; Peptostreptococcales; Peptostreptococcaceae
Description: bacterial SSU rRNA
Rfam family: Bacterial small subunit ribosomal RNA
Source: RNAcentral